UAGCAGAGCAAUCUUUUCUUGGUAUUUCUUCUCCCGCUUCUUGGUAGCAUGGAGAAGUUCUUCGGUGACUUCAGCCCGAGCAUGUGCGGUCUGGGCCUUAUCUUCAAGCUCGAAGUUAAGCCACGCAAAAGCAGUCAACCCCUCAUGCAAAAUGCUUGCAUCAUGUGCCAAUUGCAAAAAGAGAAAAAAUUUUUGGUCAAGUCAUCUACUUGACUAACGCAACUAUUUAGCAGAG
Molecule: long non-coding RNA, 235 nt
Filed under: Elaeis guineensis (African oil palm)
Lineage: Eukaryota; Viridiplantae; Streptophyta; Magnoliopsida; Arecales; Arecaceae
Description: long non-coding RNA (EGUI_LNC032432)
Source: RNAcentral